UACGUAGGAGACGAGCGUUGUCCGGAGUUACUGGGCGUAAAGGGUGCGCAGGUGGCGGCGCGCGUGGGGGGUGAAAUCGCCCGGCUUAACUGGGCGGGGGCCUUCCAGACGGCGUGGCUUGAGCAGCGGAGGGGGACGUGGAAUUCCUGGUGUAGCGGUGAAAUGCGCAGAUAUCAGGAGGAACACCAAUGGCGAAGGCAGCUCGCUGGAACGGUACUGACGCUGAGGCGCGAAAGCGUGGGGAGCAAACAGG
Molecule: ribosomal RNA, 253 nt
Filed under: uncultured bacterium
Lineage: Bacteria
Description: partial 16S ribosomal RNA
Rfam family: Bacterial small subunit ribosomal RNA
Source: RNAcentral